RNAcentral lists this non-coding RNA (29 nucleotides) under Mus musculus (house mouse). The record is from RNAcentral. Lineage: Eukaryota; Metazoa; Chordata; Mammalia; Rodentia; Muridae.
UGAUGUGAUAUGAGCGAAAACGCGUUUGG